CAGUAGCCGCGGUAAUACAGAGGAUGCAAGCGUUAUCCGGAAUGAUUGGGUGUAAAGGGCUCGCAGGCGGUUUCUUAAGUCUGAUGUGAAAGCCCCCGGCUCAACCGGGGAGGGUCAUUGGAAACUGGGAAACUUGAGUGCAGAAGAGGAGAGUGGAAUUCCACGUGUAGCGGUGAAAUGCGUAGAGAUGUGGAGGAACACCAGUGGCGAAGGCGACUCUCUGGUCUGUAACUGACGCUGAGGAGCGAAAGCGUGGGGUGCGAACAGGAUUAGAUACCCCGGUAGUCCCUGUCUCUUAUAC
Molecule: ribosomal RNA, 301 nt
Filed under: uncultured bacterium
Lineage: Bacteria
Description: partial 16S ribosomal RNA
Rfam family: Bacterial small subunit ribosomal RNA
Source: RNAcentral